UGAGUAGUUGUUCAUCACUGAGCAAUUUGUUAAUAUGUGUUUCGAGCCAAAUAAAUGACAGGGAGAGAGAGAGUGACAUCAGAACACGUCAUACUAUAACCUCCCGGGAGCGGACGGAGGGGGUCAGUCGUUGAGAUGCGCAUGCGCAGACAGAGUGUGCGAGCGGCGGACCUUGACCUUUCGGGAAAAAAAACUCACGGACGGUGACAGCGAAACGGAUAACAGUCUUCAGUACCUGCUGGACUUUGAAGCUGUGGAUUCUGGGACUGUUAGAAAAGAUGGAGGAUCACUAACAGGAGCGUGGGAAGACUCCAGAAUCCACUCUGGCUGGAAUCCGGUGGAUAUGCAGUGUGUACAGAACAGUUCUCCACAGUCGCUGUCCACAUGGGUCAGUGGGACCAAGAAGCACUCUGCUAAUGUGGGACUCUGACCAGCAACAUCCAGCAGGACCCAGACAGCGUUUUCUAUCUCCCAGCUGGAGGUUUUUGUUUGUCUGUGACUGGAGAGUCAGAUUUUUGUUGAGCUUCACACUUGCAGAGGUUAAUACACGCUACUGAUCCCUGAUAGGAGAAUCAUCAAUUUUGGCAACAAAGAAGCCUGGUGGAUGUUUGUUUACAGUCUGAUGAUGGGACAUCAUGCUCUGCAUCUUCAAAGUUUGCCUCCUCAUUAUUAUUCAUACCCAGUAAUGUGAAGUAUGCUCAUAUCUACUAUAACUGAACCAACCUGGUGCUCUUCAUUUAUGGAGGCUGUUGAGUCUGAAUGUUGGAUGUUGUGUAUCUCGUGUUCUCUGGGCUUUGUUGUCCUCAGUCUUUUUGCAGGAUCAGAAAACAAAACCAGGAGGCGUGUAAAUGUUUCUUCUCCAUGAUGUUUCUUCAAAUGUUUCUUCUGGAUGAUGAUAAGACUGUGACACGGGAUGCCACCUUUGGUCUUGUGAUGAAGCAAAGCUCAGGAAGAAGUGGGAUUAAAUGGUACCCACAUGUGUGCUGCUGAGAAGGAUGUACAGGGGCACCUGCAGCCAAAUCCAAGCCUCAGAGCGGCAGUUUGUGCUCACAGAUGGUGACGGUGUGGAGAGACGGUGGUGUUUCCUCAGAAGAACCAGCAGAGUCACAAAGGACACCAGUCCAUCUCACCACCGUGACUCGCUGACUGAUGUUCGUCUGCACUGCACAGAGGAAAUCAACUGACCAAGGAAUGGAGAAAUAAAAUCACAGGGAGAUGUUUUUGCUGUUUUUGUAAUGAUAUGGGCAGUAUAUCAGUCUUGGACUGUCUAACCUGCUGGAGCAGCACUGAAUGACCACCACACAUGAGCAUGUUCCCGCAACAUUCAGCAUCUGAUCUGUCAUCUGUGUGCUGCUGCUUUUGUGUCACAUGUCAAACAGCUGGAGAGGAAACUACACCAGUGUACUGGGAUGUUUCAGCAACACGUGCCAGAUGCUGUUCCUUCAUGGUGACAUCACCAGAGACAGCCCCACCCACCUCAGGACCUCGCCAUUGAUCAUGAUGAUUAUAAUGAUGACAGCGAGCGGAACUAAGACUGUAAAAAUCCACGACCAGAAUUUUUCUUUCUAAUUAUGAAUGAAUACUGAGAGCCUCGUUCUGUGUUUUGUCUGUUUUGGUUGUUUUUUUUUUUACCUCAUUUGUUACUAACAAAGUUCACAAACUCACACAGUUUACAUUCUGUAUGUUUCCAUCUUUACCAGCCACAAUCUAACUGCAUUUAAGAAAAUAAUCCUUAGAAAUCGUCGUUUUUCUUUUGUAAUUGAUGAUAAUUCAGUGAAUAUACUGCGCUGCUUCCUUUUAUUGCGUCACACAUUGCUUUAUGUUUUUCAGUGUCCAGUUAUUUUUUACUGCUGUUUGAAUUCUCUGUAUGUUUGACCCUGUAGACUGUUUGAUGGACUGCUUGUCUUCCUGUUUGUUACCGCCGCCUGUUUUUUAAUAAAGAUUUGGAUUUCUGACUUCAACACA
Long non-coding RNA from Astatotilapia calliptera (eastern happy), 1965 nucleotides. Lineage: Eukaryota; Metazoa; Chordata; Actinopteri; Cichliformes; Cichlidae. The record is from Ensembl.